AAGUCGUAACAAGGUCUCCGUAGGUGAACCUGCGGAAGGAUCAUUAACACGUUAUCCACGUAUCAACCAACCCGAGAAUCAGUUUCCUCCCCUCUACUUGAAGCAGAAAAUGAAUUGGAAGCCAGCAGGAAAGAUGAGAGUGGGCCUCGGCCUUUUUCCUGUCCGCCUAUUUGACGUGCAAGCGUUGGACAAUUGUAUUUCUGUAGAGGAUUAUUCUUUCAUGCUGUACGUAUGCAUCUCUACUGGGCAUGAAAGAGACAACCCAAAUAAAAAACCUAUUUCACCCGCUUUUUGCUAGUUGACUUUUAUAUGUUGUUCUUUGCUUGACUGCAUGGAUCACACGUUUAAUUAUUUGAACGUUAAAAAUACAACUCUUAGCAAUGGAUAUCUUGGUUCUC
Molecule: unclassified non-coding RNA, 398 nt
Filed under: fungal sp.
Lineage: Eukaryota; Fungi
Description: partial internal transcribed spacer region
Rfam family: Eukaryotic small subunit ribosomal RNA (bases 1-46)
Source: RNAcentral